UACGGGAGGCAGCAGUGGGGAAUAUUGCACAAUGGGCGCAAGCCUGAUGCAGCCAUGCCGCGUGUAUGAAGAAGGCCUUAGGGUUGUAAAGUACUUUCAUCGGGGAGGAAAAAACAAAACUAAUAAUUUUAUUUCUUGACGUUACCCGAAAAAGAAGCACCGGCUAACUCCGUGCCAGCAGCCGCGGUAAUACGGAGGGUGCUAGCGUUAAUCAGAAUUACUGGGCGUAAAGAGCACGUAGGUGGUUUUUUUAAGUUCAGAUGUGAAAUCCCUGGGCUUAACCUAGGAACUGCAUUUUGAAACUGAAAUACUAGAGUAUCGUAGAGGGAGGUAGAAUUCUAGGUGUAGCGGUGAAAUGCGUAGAUAUCUGGAGGAAUACCUGUGGCGAAAGCGGCCUCCUAAACGAAUACUGACACUGAGGUGCGAAAGCGUGGGGAGCAAACAGGGAUUAGAUACC
This 457-nucleotide ribosomal RNA is filed under the name uncultured bacterium. RNAcentral's name for it is "bacterial SSU rRNA". It matches the Rfam family "Bacterial small subunit ribosomal RNA", at positions 340 to 786 of the family's 1533-position model. The record is from RNAcentral.